Molecule: ribosomal RNA, 253 nt
Filed under: uncultured bacterium
Lineage: Bacteria
Description: partial 16S ribosomal RNA
Rfam family: Bacterial small subunit ribosomal RNA
Source: RNAcentral
UCCAGAGGGUGCGAGCGUUAAUCGGAAUUACUGGGCGUAAAGCGCGCGUAGGCGGCUUUGCAAGUCGGGUGUGAAAUCCCCAGGCUUAACCUGGGAACUGCAUUCGAGACUGCAUUGCUAGAGUAUGGGAGAGGGAAGUGGAAUUUCCGGUGUAGCGGUGAAAUGCGUAGAUAUCGGAAGGAACAUCAGUGGCGAAAGCGACUUCCUGGACCAAUACUGACGCUCAUGUGCGAAAGCGUGGGGAGCAAACAGG